Humulus lupulus (European hop) is the source of this 1270-nucleotide long non-coding RNA. RefSeq lists it as uncharacterized. NCBI's taxonomy places the organism in Eukaryota, Viridiplantae, Streptophyta, Magnoliopsida, Rosales, Cannabaceae. The record is from RefSeq and is a predicted model, not a curated record. The transcript is spliced from 2 exons.
GAAGUAACAUAAUACAGAGAAGAGAAGAAUUCCAGUCUAUUCUUUUCCUUUUUUAUCUUGGUAUCAGUGCCCAUGACUAACGUCAAUGAAGAAUCCUCAAGCUUCCGAAGAGCAAUCCUCUACCACAAAUCCCAGUGCUACCAUUCCAACUACUACCAUCUCUUCUUCCCCUGUCAUGCGCAUACCACCACCAUCACUUUAUCUUCCUUUUCCUACUUCCUUAGCAGCUUUUCCCCUUGCUCAGCCCAUGAUUAGUCAAGCCCCUGGCAUCUUUCCCUCUUCUCACUUAGCUCUGCUUACCCUUAAACUUGACUGCAACAAUUAAUCCUUCUGGAAAUAUCAAGUCCUUCCAGCCCUCAGAGCUCAUGAACACUAUGGAUACAUUCUUGGUACUAAAUCGUGCCAUCCUCAAUUCGUUGAUCAUACCACAGGUGGUACCAUAACUGGGCAAUAAAUUUCAGAUGAAGAGCUUAUUUUGUAUAUUUUAGGUGGCCUCGGUCAUGAUUAUGACUCUAUUGUGGGUAAUCUUACCUCUCAUCAUGACAAACUAACUCUUCAGGAGCUGCAAUACAUGUUGCAGAGUCAAGAUAUGCGUAUGGAUCAACUAAAUAUACCUUCUAAUCACACUGCUCCCAGUGCAAAUAUUGCCACUUAGAUGAAGAAAACACUCAACUUUUCUAGCCCUUCAUCUCCUUCAUUUAAUGGUCAUGGCUUCUCUACUCGUGAUCGUGGUGGUGGCCGUAGGGGUCGUAGAAAUCUUCCUAUAUGCCAAUUGUGUUCCCGUCCAGGCCAUGUUUCUUCAAAAUGCUAUCAUCAGUUUGAUAUCUCGUUCUAGACCCCUAUUGGUUUCUCACCUAACAAUCAGCCACAUACUAAAAAUUUUGGAAAUUCGAAUGCAUGGUCAGCUGGCCUUUCUUUCCUCCACUGAUAACUCAAAUGAAAAUGCCUGGUACAUUGACAGUGGAGCUACAAAUUACAUUACUGCAGAUGCUUCAAACUUGCAGCAAAAAUCUUAUUUGAAAGGUAUAACUCACUUAGUUAUUGGUAAUGGCCAAACUUUGUUUAUUACUAAAAUUGGCAGCACUGAUUUAUUUGUACCUCAUUCUUCCAAAGCUUUUCAUCUCGAGAAUAUCCUUUGUGUCCCUCAAAUUACCAAAAACUUGUUAUCUAUUUCUCAAUUAGCCAAUGAUAAUGAUGUUUUUGUUGAGUUUUAUGAUGAUUAUUGACCUGAUUGUUGGGAAAACUUAUACAAGAUCUUUAUUUAUUUUCA